GUGAGCAACAAUUCAUGACAUUGCAUUGUUAGAAACAGUGUUAGCGAAAAUUAAAUUUAUAUCAUCAAACUUUCUUCCUGAAAACAUAACAUGCAAAAGGAGCAUUAGCUCCUUAUGUGAACUUCAUCACUAAUUCUGCUAGGAAGAGAACAGCUUUAAUGCGAUUGAGGUUACGCAGUACUCGUAAGAGUUGAAAGGAUCAGCUUUUUUGGAUCGAAUUUUCUGAGCAUCGCACUAGGUUACAAUUUUUGAAGAUUGGACAACUAUGUAAAAACCUUUUUAAUUGCAGAAUGCAAAUAUCAUGAAAGCGACCUCCGAAAGUCACUAGAGAAUUAAUCAAUAUGACCAAAGCACAGAAGAAGGUAAUCAAAUGGUGUUUGAAAGAGGUGUUUCAUGCCAUAUUUACAACUAGAACUCAAUUUUAGUUCAUUGCGCCAGUUUUAUACUCAGAAGGUUUUAUUUAUAGCACAAGGAAUAUUUCGCCUUAUUAUUUACA
Belonocnema kinseyi is the source of this 496-nucleotide long non-coding RNA. RefSeq lists it as uncharacterized. The transcript has 3 exons. The record is from RefSeq and is a predicted model, not a curated record. NCBI's taxonomy places the organism in Eukaryota, Metazoa, Arthropoda, Insecta, Hymenoptera, Cynipidae.